RNAcentral lists this ribosomal RNA (445 nucleotides) under uncultured bacterium. RNAcentral describes it as "partial 16S ribosomal RNA". It matches the Rfam family "Bacterial small subunit ribosomal RNA", at positions 354 to 796 of the family's 1533-position model. The record is from RNAcentral.
GUGAGGAAUAUUGGUCAAUGGGCGCAAGCCUGAACCAGCCAUCCCGCGUGAAGGAAGAAGGCCCUACGGGUUGUAAACUUCUUUUCUGUUUGAAGAAUAAGCUCGUCGAGACGAGUGAUGCCGGUAGGACAGGAAUAAGCAUCGGCUAACUCCGUGCCAGCAGCCGCGGUAAUACGGAGGAUGCAAGCGUUAUCCGGAUUUAUUGGGUUUAAAGGGUGCGCAGGUGGUUUAAUAAGUCAGUGGUGAAAGUCUGGCGCUUAACGUUAGGAUUGCCAUUGAUACUGUUAGACUUGAAUAUGGAUGAGGUAGGCGGAAUGUGUAGUGUAGCGGUGAAAUGCUUAGAUAUUACACAGAACACCGAUUGCGAAGGCAGCUUACUAAUCCAUCAUUGACGCUGAGGCACGAAAGCGUGGGGAUCAAACAGGAUUAGAAACCCCUGUAGUCC